GGUGAACGCUGGCGGCGUGCCUAAUACAUGCAAGUCGAGCGAACAGACGAGGAGCUUUUGCCUCUGACGUUAGCGGCGGACGGGUGAGUAACACGUGGAUAACCUACCUAUAAGACUGGGGUAACUUCGGGAAACCGGAGCUAAUACCGGAGAAUAUAUUGAACCGCAGGGUUCAAUAGUGAAAGACGGUUUUGCUGUCACUUAUAGAUGAUUCAGCGCGGCAUUAGAUAGUUGGUAAGGUAACGGCUUACCAAGGCAACGAUGCGUAGCCGACCUGAGAGGGUGAUCGGCCACAAUGGAACUGAGACACGGUCCAGACUCCUACGGGAGGCAGCGGUAGGGAAUCUUACGCAAUGGGCGAAAGCCUGACGGAGCAACGCCGCGUGAGUGAUGAAGGUCUUCUGAUCGUAAAACUCUGUUAUUAGGGAAGAACAAAUGUGUAAGUAACUAUGCACGUCUUGACGGUAACUAAUCAGAAAGCAACGGCUAACUACGUG
This 497-nucleotide ribosomal RNA is filed under the name uncultured bacterium. RNAcentral's name for it is "partial 16S ribosomal RNA". It matches the Rfam family "Bacterial small subunit ribosomal RNA", at positions 28 to 507 of the family's 1533-position model. The record is from RNAcentral.